Molecule: long non-coding RNA, 612 nt
Organism: Loxodonta africana (African savanna elephant)
Lineage: Eukaryota; Metazoa; Chordata; Mammalia; Proboscidea; Elephantidae
Exons: 3
Source: RefSeq, a predicted model, not a curated record
GAAGAAGAAGAAGAAGGGAAAGAGACUUCUGGUGGCGUACUAGUUAAGUACUGUGGCUGCUAACCAAAAGCCCGGCACACCAGAGGGAAUUUCAGAUUUUAGGUCGCUAACUCACGCUGACUGUGCAGCUUCUAAGUUCCAAAGCAAUACUAUUUGCUUCAAGUUUUCUUUUUCCUUCCCAUUUUUUUAAAAAAGUUAUUACUUCCUGUUUACAAAAACACAUGAAAUCGUCUCAGGCUCCCACUUGAGUGAUCCUGGUUUUGAAGAAAGUAUUCCCAAGCAACAUGCCAGUUGUUUAAAGCUAAGGAAACUGGAACAUCUGUCUGAAAUUUUCUCGUAUUGCACCUGGGCUUCAAAAUGAAGGAAGGUACGGAUCUUCUAACUAUCCUGGGGCAUUCUGAAAUAGGCUGUGCUCUUUGUGAUGGUUAAAGUUAUGUGUCAACUUGACUAGGCCAUGACUCUCAGUGGCUUGGAAGAUAUUAUGUAAUCAUCCUCCAUUUUGUGAUCUGAUGUGAGCAGCCAAUCAGUUGGAAACUAAUCAGUCGAAAGCAAAUCAGUUGAAGUCAGUCAGUUUUCUUGGGGAUAUGACCUGCAUCCAAGCUAUAUGGAUGU